AGGUCUUCAAAAAACUUCUCUGCACUGUUCAUACCACGAACUUUUGCAAUCAAAUCCAAAUGAACUGCAUAGUCACCAGAUAAUAGUUCGAUAUCAUCUUGUACCCUCAUCCAUUCACAAACCUCAAGGGCGUGUUUAUAUCGUUUGUGUCUUCGCAACUCCCGGACAAUGCGAUUGAGCUCAUACUUCCGGACAGGGUGCCCCUCUUCCUUCCACUUGCGUAUAGCAAUGACAGCACUACGUUUUGCAUAGAUCAAACUCAAAAGCCUCCUCCCUAGUGUGUCUCUGCCACGAGUACUAGUGCCACCUUCUAAGCUAGUGGUAAUGCCACUUCCACCUCCUGAUCCUGUGGACUUAACUGUUGUCGAAGCUUCAGUCGAUAGAGGGCGAACAGCAGCAUAA
Molecule: unclassified non-coding RNA, 402 nt
Filed under: Hevea brasiliensis (rubber tree)
Lineage: Eukaryota; Viridiplantae; Streptophyta; Magnoliopsida; Malpighiales; Euphorbiaceae
Source: RNAcentral